CGUGUAGGCGGUCGGCCAAGUCUGAUGUGAAAGCCCGAGGCUCAGCCUCGGAAGUGCGUCGGAAACUAGUCGGCUGGAGCGCGAUAGAGGAGGGUGGAAUUCCUGGUGUAGCGGUGAAAUGCGUAGAUAUCAGGAGGAACACCGGCGGCGAAGGCGGCCCUCUGGAUCGUUGCUGACGCUGAGACGCGAAAGCGUGGGGAGCAAACAGGAUUAGAUACCCUGGUAGUCCACGCUGUAAACGAUGGGUACUAGGUGUUCGGGGUAUUGACCCCCUGAGUGCCGCAGCUAACGCAUUAAGUACCCCGCCUGGGGACUACGGCCGCAAGGUUAA
This 331-nucleotide ribosomal RNA is filed under the name uncultured bacterium. RNAcentral's name for it is "bacterial SSU rRNA". It matches the Rfam family "Bacterial small subunit ribosomal RNA", at positions 568 to 897 of the family's 1533-position model. The record is from RNAcentral.